Haliotis rubra (blacklip abalone) is the source of this 162-nucleotide long non-coding RNA. RefSeq lists it as uncharacterized. The transcript is spliced from 3 exons. The record is from RefSeq and is a predicted model, not a curated record. Lineage: Eukaryota; Metazoa; Mollusca; Gastropoda; Lepetellida; Haliotidae.
AUUUGUUAUUCCUGCAAGGGUUAUCGGUUCCUUACUCUCAACUGACAAUCAGGACAUCAUUCAAAAAGGUAUGAAAUGUUUGUCACCAGAAGUACUAAGGUAUCGGGAAGUGCCAUGACCUACUUACGGGCCCUAUCAUCACAAGUUGGCUAUAUAUACACA